UCUCUCAGUUUAUGGGUCAUUAAAUGCUAUCUUUCACUCUAUUUCAUGAUUUACUUGGGAAUGGACAAUUAAGGUUGUUUUUUUUUUCGUUUCAGGAGAUGAAGGUGAAUUGGGCCACCUCCCCUAGUAACACCCCCAAACAAGACACAAGUAAACAUUUUCACAUAUUUGUUGGAGAUUUGAGUCCAGAUAUAGAAACUUCACAGCUAAAGGAAGCUUUCCGAGUAUUUGGUGAAAUCUCUGACUGUAAAAUCAUCCGAGAUCCUCAAACGUUGAAAUCCAAGGGCUAUGGUUUUGUGUCGUACGUCAACAAAGUGGAUGCAGAGACAGCCAUUAGUAACAUGAAUGGACAGUGGCUGGGCAGUCGACCAAUCAGAACUAACUGGGCCACUCGAAAACCUCCCGCCCCCGUGCCUAAAGAAUCCCAGAUAAAGCAGCUGUCCUAUGAAGAAGUCUACAGUUUAUCCAGUUCCACUAACUGUACCGUGUACUGUGGGGGUAUUGGACCCGGAGUCACAGAAGAAGCAAUAAAGAGUGCGUUUAACACCUAUGGGACAAUUCAAGAAAUCCGAGUGUUCAAGGAAAAGGGAUAUGCAUUUAUCAGAUUUUCAAAUAAAGAGUCAGCUACAAAGGCUAUUUGUGGAGUAAACGGAACAGUGAUCGGAGAGAACAUGGUCAAGUGUUCGUGGGGGAAGGAGUCUAAUGACCCUAACCAGUCAGGGGGAGGGGCAGGUUCCCCCUCUCAAAUGUCUCAGUCUGGGUCCCAGGGCCCCUCCCAGUAUGGGGGUCAGUAUUACAACAUGGGCUACGGUUAUCAGCCCGCCUACCCCUCCUACAUGCCCCAGCAGCAGUAUAUGCCCCAGGGCUAUGGCUACGGCAACAGCGGGUAUCAGAUGCAGGGAAUGCAGCCUUAUGGAAUGGUUCCACCAGGAACACAGCAGCAGUUUCCUGGUCAGGGAGGCAUGAUGGGAUAUCCCAUGCAGCAAGGAUUGGGUAGCGUGAUGGCAUUAAGUUAUGUCAAGUCCAGCCCCUGAACACCCAGCGACAUGCCAGGGAGUGAAAGUUUGAUGGAGAAAGCCAGCGGAAUAUCAUUGAGACCUAGCAAGCUCCAAACAUCUUUGGCUGUUAGAACAGUUUUAUUUGUAAGAAUGUGAUUGGUGCAUUCCUGGUUUCCAUGGAGAUGGACACCUUCUCUGUAGAAAAUCAUUUAAAUGAUGAAAAUAAUUGUACAGAUAUAAUUAUGUACUUGUAAAUAUUUGAUAGUGGAUGGAGUCUACAAAAGCUAGACCUAGAUCAUUGUCUGUUCUUUUAUCUGGGUCACACCCAAUUUGCUCAUGUUGAGGAAAUGGAGUUAAAUCUCAUGGUGGCCAUUUUUUACAGACAUACAACGAAAAAGAUUCAAUCUGUAUCUGUUCUUGCUAGACGUGUUAAUUAUAGACAAUUUAGGAGGGAUAUUGUGGGUACAUGUGCACCUAAACAGACAAAUUUUACAAGCACUCAAGCUUGGUUCUCCAUUGAUUAGAGUUUAUUUACUCCUUGGCAUUGUGUUAAAUUAUAUAAUGUUGAUCUUAAGUUAUUUUCUUUUCUUGUAAUACAUGUACUAUUUAAAAUUGUCAAUUUUCUUUAAGUUUUUUUCUAGAAUUAUCCUGAAGAUGUGUAUUUUGUAUUUCAAUUUAAAACUUAUUUUUAGUUGCUAAAUUUAGGACUUGAUGAAUAAUUUAACGCAAAAUUGUCAUUGAUUGAGAAUGAACAUAAAUUAUUUUGAAAGAAAACAUUUAUAUUUUAUUAGACUUAUGUAAAUGAAUUCAGAAUUUUAGACCUGUUCAAUCUACUGUUUUUAAUGUGGUCCCAAGACUAAAACAGUUUUAUUUAUUGUCUCACUGCAAUUUCGCUGUGUUCAGUCUAGAAUUUUUUUUUUGUUAGAAAUUUUAAUUUUCCUUGAUAAGAAAUAUAUUUUAGAAACUAAGCUUUUGUUGUGUAAUUUCAUUGAGAAAUUGGAUGAAUGUUAUUUUUGUUAGAAAAAAAAAUUAAGUAGAAAAUAUAUUUGUUAGUGCCAACUGAAACUUUUGACCUCUCGUUUUGUAUAGUUAGAUAAUUUAAACCCUGUUAUCAGAACUCUGGUAGAUAUAUGUUCAGCUAUUGGAUUAUUUGAGGCGAGUAAUUGCAUUCCAGUUUUUUUUUUCCAGUGAAAACCGAAAGAAUGAUUGUGUAAACAUGUCUCAAUUAGGUAAACCCCUCUAAAUGGGGAGGAAAGUAGUGUCUUUUAUGUUAUAUGGCUGUGGAGGGUAAUUCAGGCCUUGUAAAUAGUAAUCAUCAUUUUUAGCUUGUGAAUUCUCGUAGUUUUGACAGAGAAGAGUUUGUGUCCAUUCUCGUGCUGAUCUUAGGAUCCUCCAUUAUGUCAUGUACCUGUCACCGUGUCCUGGAGUAGAGUAUCAUCAUGUUAAGAAUAUUAUUGUAAUUAUUCUUUACUUGUCCAUUGUAUAUUUUGUGUAAUGAUAAUUUAUUAAGCUGUUAGAAAUAUACCAGCGUCAGGAAUCACUGCUUGUUAUUACAUCUCCAGAGUUGUGGUCACCCUAUCCAUAUGUCUAUCAGAUAUAUAUACCAUGCAAUAAGAAGUUGGACUAUGAUCAUUUUGAAUGUUUUAGGUUUUGAAAUGUUACAAAAAUUUAUAUUUUUAUACAGCAUUUCAGGCAGAAAUACAUUGAUUUUUUUAAUAGAAGGAUAUUGAUUUUAUUUGUUUUGUGAAAUGGUUAAUACUGAGAGCUGUGUUUGCAGUCCAUAGGAGAAAGACCAUCAUAUCUGGUGGUGUACCAUACAUAGAAAGUCAUACAUUAUUGUAUAUAUUGUAUUUAUUUAAGACUGAACCAUCUUAUAAACUGACAGAUCAGUGUCAGUCAGAUGCCUUAAGCUUUUACCAUAAUUGUCCAUGGAUGUAAACACAGCUGCAUACAUCAUCUUGUCUUGUCAUGUGACCUGCUGUAAUCAUCAUGCCAUGAAUAAAAACAUCCAUCAUCUAGA
RNA transcript from Saccostrea cuccullata (small rock oyster), 3018 nucleotides. It is a transcript of the gene named nucleolysin TIAR-like, with no coding region annotated. Lineage: Eukaryota; Metazoa; Mollusca; Bivalvia; Ostreida; Ostreidae. The record is from RefSeq and is a predicted model, not a curated record. The transcript is spliced from 12 exons.